RNA transcript from Helianthus annuus (common sunflower), 2854 nucleotides. It is a transcript of the gene named UDP-D-apiose/UDP-D-xylose synthase 1-like, with no coding region annotated. NCBI's taxonomy places the organism in Eukaryota, Viridiplantae, Streptophyta, Magnoliopsida, Asterales, Asteraceae. The record is from RefSeq and is a predicted model, not a curated record. The transcript has 21 exons.
UAAACACACAACCCGACCAUUUUCAUUCCCUAUUCUUCAUAUUCUCACAAGGCGAUUAGGGUUUCUACAGUUUCAAUCUUACAUCUCCCUGUCAUUGCAUCCCUAAAGAUCGUAUGUCUUCAUCACGGCUGCAUCGGAUUCAAAUAACGAUGAAGGAAAGAGCAACACGAGUUCUGAGUUAGGUGAACCGAUUAAUCUCAAGGCUUCAUCGGAUUCAAAUAACGAUGAAAGAAAGAGCGACACGAGUUCUGAGUUAGGUGAACCGAUUAAUCUCAAGGCUGCAUCGGAUUCAGAUAACGAUAACGACGAAGGAAAGAGCAACACGAGUUCUGAGUUAGGUGAACCGAUUAAUCUCAAGGUAAUGGGGAUUUCCGUGUCAUCAGUAUGCAUUUCUGUUCACAUCGGUCAAGCCGGAAUCCAAGUCGGCAACUCACGCUGGAAGCUCUAUUGUCUCGAACAUUAUGCAGUGAUUUUGACCAACGUAAGCAUGGUGGAUUCAACACUUUGAUACCUUUAAGAAGGGGCAAAGAAGGCCGCCAAGCAACAAAGAAGGGGCAAGAAUAUGCUGGAGAUAUGUGGCAACAUUGUUUACCGUUUUGCCCCUGUUAAGGAGGGUCCCUUUAAAGAGAAGCAUCUUCAGUUCGGUCUCGGGUAUAUAAUUCAAAGGAUCUUCCGCAAUGAUCAUAAGCAUUUGUGUGUAGCCCUUUGUCAGUUUCACUCCUUCAUAAAGCUCCUGAUAUGGGUGCCAACAUCAGGUUCGCGCAAAAAAAUGGGAGGUUUUGAUGCUUAAAAACUUUAGCAUUCCAAUUCUCAUCGAGGAGAUGAUUCAGGAAAGUAACAAGGUACUGAAGGAGCUAUAAAGAGAAAUGUAUUUUGACAGGGGGAACUUCUAUGACUUUACCUCGCUUGAUAGGUCUUCAUACAAAAAAAAAUAAUGGUUUUGUGUUGUCUUUAACAUCCAAUAUUGAUUUGUAUUGUUUUUUUGGAUUUGAAGUCAUUCUCAUCUACGGUUUGUUCAUCUUCGACCGAUUCUCUUUUCGUAUUCUACUAAUCAAAUGUCGUCAUCUACAAGGUAUGAAUCCCUUCUUUAUGUAUUGUUAUGAUUUAGUGUUGAUAUUAGAUAUAAUUUUUUUGGAUUAUGUGGAUUCUUGACUGAACCAAAUGUGAAGAAGAAGAAGAAGAUUGUAAAUGAGCUUUGAGGUCAUAUCAAAAAUCAAACAAUGAAAUUAUUGUUAAAUGUCUGAUUUAGUUACAAUGUUUCUGCUAUAAUUUUUGUAGUGGUGUUCAACAGUGGGAUGCCAAAAGUGUGAAAUCAGAUUAUUGAUGGUGAAGAACCAAUUUGAUUUGAAGACCUUGGACUUGGACAGAUCUCUAAAGUUUUGCAAUGCAUUUGAGGAGAAGACCUACAUUAAAAGGGAUUUAUAGCAAAUCAGUUGUUGGAGGGUAGCAAACCAGUUGAUAUCUCUAAGAACCCGUCUUGAGUUGUUCUUACACUUAAAGGAUGAAUGUGAUAGUGGAGUUGAAGAAGACAUGGAAGCCCUAAAAACGGCCUUUUCUGUGACGGGCAAAUCCCCAGCCGCCAUUUAAAGGCGCUUCUCUCACUAGAACGGAAGAUCAUACAGAGUGUAGUUGCGUGAACCAACUCCUUACAACAAAUAUGUCAUAUGAGGAGUGCUUAUAUCAGCUUGCAUCGGUUGGAUCUUAGUUGUGAAUUAUGAGUUCCGUUGUGAAAUCAGAGGAGGAAUGGAGUGCAGUUCUUUCUCCUGAACAAUUUCGCAUCCUUCGAAACAAAGGAACUGAUACAUGGUUUGUAUUUGUGGGAUGAGGCGUAUGAGUCUAAGUGAGCUAAAGUUGCUCUUAUGAGAAGAUGGGCCAGAAGCGUACAACUGUGUGCUGAAUGGAAUUGGUCUGAAGCCUUGAAUCCUGGAAGGCGUAUAUAAAGAGUCAUCGUCUGAAUAUAAGAGUUUUUGAUAUAAGCGUUCUUGAAUAAAACGAGUAAUGACAAUGUGAUAUCAAAUGAGAGAAUGUGUUUGUUGCUUUUUGGAAUUGGCUUUAUCUUGCUAACUUUGCAUCCUUUGAACCAACAUAGCAACAUACAUCCCUCAUGAUCCAUCUGAUUUUUUUUUUUUGGCUUUGAUACCAAAGGAAUGAGAUGCAAUUAUCUUGCACAUGAGGUAAAUUUGUAUUUCUUAAAUGUUGUGAAGUAUAUGGGAAAACCAUCGGUAGCUUUCUUCCCCAAGAUACAGGAUCCUGCUUACUAUAUUCUCAAAGAAGACACAUCCCCUUGCAUUUUUUGCUCAAUCGAGAAACAACGAUGGUCUUAUGCAUGUGCAAAACAGUUAAUUGAGAGGUUCAUCUAUGCCGAGGGUGCUGAGAAUGGUUUUGAGAAUGCUUUUAUCGGUUUAUAUAUGCAUUUAUGGGAUUGGGCGUUGUUCUGUGUUGCAUCUCUUGCAUUGGUCAUAUUGCAGCUGAAGCUAUCCAUGGAUGUUGCCUUUGUUUUUACACCAUACUGAAAAUAGUUUUGAUCCAGCUUGAGGUGGCUUUGGUCGGGUUCAUUGUACUUGAUCAUCGUUGGGAAAAGGAUCUACCAGAGGACCCAACUGAAAGCAUUGAUAGAAUUCGGGAAUUCAUUGAAGACAAUGUUGAGAUUUGUAAAUGGGUCGGCAUUACUACUUUGUUACCAUGUUUUUCUUAGUGCCUUUAUGAUACAACUGUGCUUUCUUAAUGCAUUUGGUUCAUCAUUGCAAGUUAUACUUUCAAGGCUAACAAUAUAAUUCAGUCUGAAAGUUAAAAGGAAAACAGAUCAAAAGUGUUAUAGCCAACAUAUUAAUAUGCCAAUUUGUUUGUAGGAUUU